CACUGCUAGAGAGAGCGAUUCUAGGGUUGGCGAGCUCCGGGUCUUCGUGGAGGCCCUGCGUGCAAGAAGGACCCGUCCUCCCUCCCUCCUCUCCGACCCCAACCUCGCCUUCUUCAGGGACUACCUCUAGAGCCAAGGUGGAGCCUAAUGCCCACAACAUUGUGGAAGUAUGACAGGCUGCGGAAAGAGACAUCUUGCAUCAAUCAUUUGUACUGGCUCUGCCAUCGGAGACAGAGUCUGCUAGUCCCUGUCCUGCGAAGUCAACAGAGGAAAGGAGAUUUUGAUUUGUGCUCAUUGACGGUGAGGUCUACUCGGUGCUGGCUAAGGCAGGAGAGGCGAGGCGUUUUCAAUCUCUUCAGGCGAAAGACUCACCAAUUGGAUCAUUCAUCAUAGCAUAACUAGAUUCAUUUGGUGCACAAUGAAUCUUAAGUUCUUAACUCUACUCUUUUGACUGUUUUUGGGUUACUUUUGCUUCCAACAAAGGGUGCCACUGUGUUACUCACAAAUAUUUUGGGGUUUUCCAUUUGAAAUUGUAACCUCCUAGCCAGGAUAUCAAGUGUCAAGAUCAAAGGGAGGGGAGGGAGGAGGUUGGGGGCACACCUUGACGACUGCAGAUUAAGGUUUAUCUUAGGCCGUUAUAUUGGUUUUGGGGAGAAGGUAUCAGCUGGAACACUUAGAAGGCAAUCAUGUUUGAAUUCCUUUCACGAACCAGGAUUGUUUGCAACAGCAAGGUCUAUCCCUGCGGCAUAGCCGGAUAUGUCUGGUGCCUCUUGCGUGCUGGUUCAUUCGCCCCUCCAUCUUCCAUCUGAAGAGUUUGUCCAUCGCCUGUCGGCCUUUUCUCCUGCGCUGAAUCUGGGGCUGUUAUAUGUGCUGCUGUUAUAUACUCAGGCAACUUUGAGUUUUUUUUUUGUGAGCCGCAGCUGCCUUUUAUGAUUUGAAGCAAAGGUGGGCUUCAGGAUUGUGUGCAAUUGUGUGCUCUAAAUCAUCCAAUAAGAUUGUGUUAAUUUAGCCUACCAAUACAUGGUAGACCUAAAUUUUGAAUGCAGGCAGCUUGUAAGAGGAGAUUACUGUCAAGCUGUAUCUUAUGCUUUUCAAGGGAAGGCGGGGGAGAAGAACAAGGGGUAGAACAUACCUUGAUGAUCCAAGGGUGCCUCGGAGGGGUGAUAUUCUGAUUUAUGCUAGAGACCUAGAUGCCGAAUGCUCAAUCCAGUUUCGUGUCGACACGGAUGGUCGAUUGGCUACAGUAGGCUUAGCUGGGUGGAAAGAAUAUGUUGACAAAGUUUCUCUAAAGAAAACCAAGUGAUAUUUGUCCUUAUCUUCAAGGAACUAGCUCGUCUAGUAGUCUGCGUCAAGGGGAUCUGAAUGAUCUUUUGCCGGUUGGAGUUUCUGUCAUUUUGUUCAUAUGGCUACCCACUGGUUAUGGUCAUACUUAUGUUGUUGCUAUAGUAAAACUUAGUAGCCUAAAUAGACUGAACGUGCAAGCUCGUUUUGGUCCUGUUACCUAACGUUGAAUGGUGUGUUUUGUAUGUUGGUUCCAUCGUGUACAUGGAUGUUGCUCUCUGAUCUCUUUUGAAACUUACUACUGUAGAUGCAGUCAGCAUCUAAAGCUUUGUCUAUGUGUACAUUUUCAUUGAUAAAUGAUGUUCUUUGCGAGCC
Molecule: long non-coding RNA, 1656 nt
Organism: Brachypodium distachyon (stiff brome)
Lineage: Eukaryota; Viridiplantae; Streptophyta; Magnoliopsida; Poales; Poaceae
Exons: 10
Source: RefSeq, a predicted model, not a curated record